RNAcentral lists this transfer RNA (74 nucleotides) under bacterium. Its description in RNAcentral is "tRNA-Thr". It matches the Rfam family "tRNA". Rfam says of the family: Transfer RNA (tRNA) molecules are approximately 80 nucleotides in length. Their secondary structure includes four short double-helical elements and three loops (D, anti-codon, and T loops). RNAcentral also lists the same sequence under 1 other name. The record is from RNAcentral.
GCCGCCUUAGUUUAGUGGUAGAACAGAUCCAUGGUAAGGACCCGGUCCCAGUUCGAUUCUGGGAGGCGGCACCA